Non-coding RNA from Hordeum vulgare subsp. vulgare (domesticated barley), 132 nucleotides. NCBI's taxonomy places the organism in Eukaryota, Viridiplantae, Streptophyta, Magnoliopsida, Poales, Poaceae. The record is from Rfam.
AUGAUACUCCCUUCGUUUUAAAAUUGUUUUAAGUUUGUCUAUAAAUGAAUGUAUCUAAAUACCAAAACGUCACUAGAUAUAUUUAUUUUAAACAAAUCUAAGACAAGAAUUUUGAGACGGAGGGAGUAGAUA